GAAGCCCGCCAGACCGCCGCUGGCGCUUAGUCCCGCAAGGGCGCGCUGGAGGAAGGUCCGGACUGCACAGGGUAGCGCAGGAGCUAACGGCUCUCCGCCGCGAGGCGAGGAUCAGAGCAACAGAGACGAGUCGCACGGGGCAACCCGCGCGGGUGAAACGGGCAAUCUCUGCGCGCAGCAACACCAAGUAAGUUGGCAUGGAAGCGGCCCGCCGAGCCAACGGGUAGGUGGCAUCGAGCCGCACGGGCGACCGGCGGCCCAGAUGGAUGGCGGUCACGGCCCGGGCAACCGGGCCGCACAGAAUCCGGCGUACCGGCGGACUUCACAC
Molecule: RNase P RNA, 328 nt
Filed under: Burkholderiaceae bacterium
Lineage: Bacteria; Pseudomonadati; Pseudomonadota; Betaproteobacteria; Burkholderiales; Burkholderiaceae
Description: RNase P RNA component class A
Rfam family: Bacterial RNase P class A
About the family: Ribonuclease P (RNase P) is a ubiquitous endoribonuclease, found in archaea, bacteria and eukarya as well as chloroplasts and mitochondria.
Source: RNAcentral